RNAcentral lists this long non-coding RNA (340 nucleotides) under Falco tinnunculus (common kestrel). RNAcentral's name for it is "lncRNA (ENSFTIG00000003471.1)". Lineage: Eukaryota; Metazoa; Chordata; Aves; Falconiformes; Falconidae. The record is from RNAcentral.
GAGGUGACACUGCAGCCCGGCUUGAAGAUAGCUCAAGGGACUGCUUGGUGCACUUCAGUGCUUAGGGUACUCUUGAGUACAGAAGGGCCAUUUAGCGGACUGAGCAAGGCAUUGCUACAGAUGGCAAACAAGGGCAUCUCAUUCCCAAUGACAUUGCUGUGGAGAUGUAAAAGGAACACCAAAUUCUAAGAUUUGCUGCAGGUACAACAGGAAUAAGGAAUAAGAAACUCUGACAACUUAGUGGCAUGAAAAAAAAUGAAGAAAGAAGGCACUUGUUAGAAGGGUAAUGAGUAGUUUCAGCAUCUAAAGUUUAUGUGCAGAUACAGAUUUUAUAAAGACU